This 382-nucleotide ribosomal RNA is filed under the name marine copepod environmental sample. RNAcentral describes it as "SSU rRNA". It matches the Rfam family "Eukaryotic small subunit ribosomal RNA", at positions 587 to 972 of the family's 1831-position model. The record is from RNAcentral. Lineage: Eukaryota; Metazoa; Arthropoda; Copepoda.
AGCUCCAAUAGCGUAUAUUAAAGUUGUUGUGGUUAAAAAGCUCGUAGUUGGAUCUCAACAGCCCUGGAUCGGUCCGGUUUGUCCGGCACUGAUCUAUGAGUUGUGGUUUUGCCGGAGGUCGGCGGGUGCUCUUAAUCGAGUGUCCGCCGGUGCCGGCAGGUUUACUUUGAAAAAAUUAGAGUGUUCAAAGCAGGCUGUUAUGCCUGAAUAUUCGUGCAUGGAAUAAUAGAAUAGGAUGUCGAUCUUAUUUUGUUGGUUUUCGAGACUCGACAUAAUGAUUAAUAGGGACAGUCGGGGGCAUUUGUAUUCAAACGCUAGAGGUGAAAUUCUUGGACCGUUUGAAGACAAACUACUGCGAAAGCAUUUGCCAAGAAUGUUUUCA